UGUCGGAUUUACUGGGCGUAAGGGUGCGUAGGCGGAUGUUUAAGUGGGAUGUGAAAUCCCCGGGCUUAACCUGGGGGCUGCAUUCCAAACUGGAUAUCUAGAGUGCAGGAGAGGAAAGCGGAAUUCCUAGUGUAGCGGUGAAAUGCGUAGAGAUUAGGAAGAACACCAGUGGCGAAGGCGGCUUUCUGGACUGUAACUGACGCUGAGGCACGAAAGCGUGGGUAGCAAACAGGAUUAGAUACCCUGGUAGUCCACGCCGUAAACGAUGGAUACUAGGUGUAGGGGGUAUCAACUCCCCCUGUGCCGCAGUUAACACAAUAAGUAUCCCGCCUGGGGAGUACGGUCGCAAGAUUAAAACUCAAAGGAAUUGACGGGGGCCCGCACAAGCAGCGGAGCAUGUGGUUUAAUUCGAAGCAACGCGAAGAACCUUACCUGGACUUGACAUCCCUUGCAUAGCCUAGAGAUAGGUGAAGCCCUUCGGGGCAAGGAGACAGGUGGUGCAUGGUUGUCGUCAGCUCGUGUCGUGAGAUGUUAGGUUAAGUCCUGCAACGAGCGCAACCCUUGUUAUUAGUUGCUACCAUUAAGUUGAGCACUCUAAUGAGACUGCCUGGGUAACCAGGAGGAAGGUGGGGAUGACGUCAAAUCAUCAUGCCCCUUAUGUCCAGGGCUACACACGUGCUACAAUGGUAGGUACAAUAAGACGCAAGACCGUGAGGUGGAGCAAAACUUAUAAAACCUAUCUCAGUUCGGAUUGUAGGCUGCAACUCGCCUACAUGAAGCUGGAGUUGCUAGUAAUCGCGAAUCAGAAUGUCGCGGUGAGUACGUUCCCGGGCCUUGUACACACCGCCCGUCACACCAUGAGAGCUGGUAACACCCGAAGUCCGUGAGGUAACCGUAAGGAGCCAGCGGCCGAAUGUGGGAUUAGUGAUUGGGGUGAGUCUACAAAAGGUACCC
RNAcentral lists this ribosomal RNA (954 nucleotides) under Clostridium sporogenes. Its description in RNAcentral is "bacterial SSU rRNA". It matches the Rfam family "Bacterial small subunit ribosomal RNA", at positions 543 to 1501 of the family's 1533-position model. Lineage: Bacteria; Bacillati; Bacillota; Clostridia; Eubacteriales; Clostridiaceae. The record is from RNAcentral.